RNAcentral lists this ribosomal RNA (260 nucleotides) under uncultured bacterium. Its description in RNAcentral is "partial 16S ribosomal RNA". It matches the Rfam family "Bacterial small subunit ribosomal RNA", at positions 524 to 781 of the family's 1533-position model. The record is from RNAcentral.
UACGAAGGGGGCUAGCGUUGCUCGGAAUCACUGGGCGUAAAGGGUGCGUAGGCGGGUCUUUAAGUCAGGGGUGAAAUCCUGGAGCUCAACUCCAGAACUGCCUUUGAUACUGAAGAUCUUGAGUUCGGGAGAGGUGAGUGGAACUGCGAGUGUAGAGGUGAAAUUCGUAGAUAUUCGCAAGAACACCAGUGGCGAAGGCGGCUCACUGGCCCGAUACUGACGCUGAGGCACGAAAGCUAGGGGAGCGAAACGGGAGUUAG